RNAcentral lists this ribosomal RNA (465 nucleotides) under uncultured Klebsiella sp. RNAcentral describes it as "bacterial SSU rRNA". It matches the Rfam family "Bacterial small subunit ribosomal RNA", at positions 338 to 795 of the family's 1533-position model. The record is from RNAcentral. Lineage: Bacteria; Pseudomonadati; Pseudomonadota; Gammaproteobacteria; Enterobacterales; Enterobacteriaceae.
CCUACGGGUGGCUGCAGUGGGGAAUAUUGCACAAUGGGCGCAAGCCUGAUGCAGCCAUGCCGCGUGUGUGAAGAAGGCCUUCGGGUUGUAAAGCACUUUCAGCGGGGAGGAAGGCGUUAAGGUUAAUAACCUUGUCGAUUGACGUUACCCGCAGAAGAAGCACCGGCUAACUCCGUGCCAGCAGCCGCGGUAAUACGGAGGGUGCAAGCGUUAAUCGGAAUUACUGGGCGUAAAGCGCACGCAGGCGGUCUGUCAAGUCGGAUGUGAAAUCCCCGGGCUCAACCUAGGAACUGCAUUCGAAACUGGCAGGCUAGAGUCUUGUAGAGGGGGGUAGAAUUCCAGGUGUAGCGGUGAAAUGCGUAGAGAUCUGGAGGAAUACCGGUGGCGAAGGCGGCCCCCUGGACAAAGACUGACGCUCAGGUGCGAAAGCGUGGGGAGCAAACAGGAUUAGAUACCCCGGUAGUC